CCUACGGGGGGCAGCAGUGAGGAAUAUUGGUCAAUGGCCGGAAGGCUGAACCAGCCAAGUCGCGUGAGGGAAUAAGGCCCUAUGGGUCGUAAACCUCUUUUGUCAGGGAGCAAAGGCGCCCACGUGUGGACGAGAGGAGAGUACCUGAAGAAAAAGCAUCGGCUAACUCCGUGCCAGCAGCCGCGGUAAUACGGAGGAUGCGAGCGUUAUCCGGAUUUAUUGGGUUUAAAGGGUGCGUAGGCGGAUUAGUAAGUCAGCGGUAAAAAUGCGGUGCUCAACGCCGUAUCGCCGUUGAAACUGCGGGG
RNAcentral lists this ribosomal RNA (305 nucleotides) under uncultured bacterium. Its description in RNAcentral is "bacterial SSU rRNA". It matches the Rfam family "Bacterial small subunit ribosomal RNA", at positions 338 to 640 of the family's 1533-position model. The record is from RNAcentral.